GGGCUUGACAUCCCACGAACCUGCCUGAAAGGACGGGGUGCCCGCAAGGGAGCGUGGAGACAGGUGGUGCAUGGCUGUCGUCAGCUCGUGUCGUGAGAUGUUGGGUUAAGUCCCGCAACGAGCGCAACCCUCACCCCUAGUUGCCACCGGGUAAUGCCGAGCACUCGAGGGGAACUGCCAGCGUCAAGCUGGAGGAAGGCGGGGAUGACGUCAAGUCAUCAUGCCCCUUACGUCCUGGGCUACACACGUGCUACAAUGGCCGGUACAAAGGGAUGCGAGACCGCGAGGUGGAGCCAAUCCCAAAAAGCUGGUCUAAGUUCGGAUUGCAGUCUGCAACUCGACUGCAUGAAGUAGGAAUCGCUAGUAAUCGCGCAUCAGCACGGCGCGGUGAAUACGUUCCCGGGCCUUGUACACACCGCCCGUCACACCACGAAAGCUGGCUGUACUCGAAGUCGCUGAG
This 460-nucleotide ribosomal RNA is filed under the name uncultured bacterium. RNAcentral describes it as "bacterial SSU rRNA". It matches the Rfam family "Bacterial small subunit ribosomal RNA", at positions 977 to 1434 of the family's 1533-position model. The record is from RNAcentral.